RNAcentral lists this ribosomal RNA (253 nucleotides) under uncultured bacterium. RNAcentral describes it as "partial 16S ribosomal RNA". It matches the Rfam family "Bacterial small subunit ribosomal RNA", at positions 524 to 776 of the family's 1533-position model. The record is from RNAcentral.
AACGUAGGUGGCGAGCGUUAUCCGGAUUUACUGGGCGUAAAGCGUGUGCAGGCGGGGGGGUAAGUGGUGGAUGAAAUCGCCCAGCUUAACUGGGCAAGGUUAUGCCAGACUGUCACUCUAGAGUGCGAGAGAGGGGCGUGGAAUUCCGGGUGUAGUGGUGAAAUGCGUAGAGAUCCGGAGGAACCCCAGAGGCGAAGGCGGCGCCCUGGCUCGCAACUGACGCUCAGACACGACAGCAUGGGGAGCGAACGGG